CAGUUGGGGCCUGCAGCCAUUUCUGGGAGGCAGUGGCAAGAAAGUAGCAAUGGGAGAGGAUCACAUGUAUUUAAAUGAUAACAGAGAAAUUCUCUUCAAUGGAGAAACACUUCCAAGCACUCAAAAUUGCAGAUGGUGGGAGUGUGAGGAAAGUGAGGAGAAACCAUGAAGACACAGAGCAAAGCUUCUAACAGCAUUCAGGAAAAAGCUUCCUGUCUUCAAAUUGGGCAUUUUGCUUUCCUGGAGUGUCAGAAUGGAGUGAUGUUCCUUGGCCACCCAAACUCCUAACUCUUAACAUUAGUAGAUGAAUGUUUGCCAAAAUGUCCCUGUAGCAUUAAAGAUG
RNAcentral lists this long non-coding RNA (343 nucleotides) under Gallus gallus (chicken). RNAcentral's name for it is "long non-coding RNA NONGGAT003967". Lineage: Eukaryota; Metazoa; Chordata; Aves; Galliformes; Phasianidae. The record is from RNAcentral.